CCAGGUCGUCUUUCCUCCAUUUGCUGAUUAGUUUUGUUCUUGUUGAAUCCACCAGUAAAACCUGAAGGACAACACAUCCUAUGGUUGGCUCCUUUUGUGGGGACAUGCUCGCAGCUAUGCCAACUUGGAAAGAGCUUGCAGUACUUUUGUCUCUUCCUGUGAGCAGAGCUCUCAUCACCCUCCCUGAUGAUUUCUAAUGUUUAGGGAGGGACAAGAACAGAACAGAUGAAGCUUUGGAUGGAUGGAUAGGCGACAGAAUGAGGGAACGCAGCAGAAAGGUUCUCCAGUUUUCCUUCCAGCAUGGACAAAGCCCAUC
Monopterus albus (swamp eel) is the source of this 316-nucleotide long non-coding RNA. RefSeq lists it as uncharacterized. The record is from RefSeq and is a predicted model, not a curated record. Lineage: Eukaryota; Metazoa; Chordata; Actinopteri; Synbranchiformes; Synbranchidae. The transcript has 3 exons.